GCUAAAGGAGUCUUCUUCUGGGUGUUUGCUGAUGGCACCUACAAAGUUACCAAUGAUCUUGUUGGCGAGACUGUACUUGCAGAGGGACAGUCUGGUACUGAGGUAUAUGGCUGGUACACCUUGUCACUCACUGUAAAAUAUGCAUCAGGGUCACUGAAUGGAUACCCUCUGUGGAAGAAUGCUGUGGUACUGACCCCAAAGGCUGGCUGGGCUGCCAUAGGAACACGCUCAUUUGAACUGGCCCAGUUUGAUAACUUUGCUUUGGUGGCAGAGUGAUUAAUUUACUUUAAAUCAUGAUUUACACUAUGCUAUGAAUGUUCUGAUUCAUUUAUGGACUUGAUUAGUACUUUACAGCCGAUAGCUUCAAGCAUGUUUGUAAAAUUUGGGGCGAUGUAUUGACAGAAAUGGGUUGUAAUAUUUAAUUAGCAUGUAACCACGCCGUAAUUAUCAUUGUGGUUUCUGUUCAGGACUGAGUCUUAAUAUGACAGGAUCAUUCCAAGAAAAACAAUGUCUUUCUACAGCUCACAGCCAACAAAACACUGGUUUAAGACCUUUCUUUGAAGAAAUGCCUUCAAAUAAGGACUUCAAGAUAAGGCUGGAAAUGUGUUGGGGCAUAACUUGUAGUGAGUCGCCUGUUUGUAGCACAUUAGAAUCCAUCACACUUGUACAGCCUGGUGUUAGAAUCAAACGACCAUAUUAGUAUUUGGUGUUAGCCGUGUAGUUGGCUUGUCACUACCAUAGGAGCAUCCCUCAGUUUCUCAGUGGGCUCCACCCUCACUUGUUGCAUCUGUUUUCAAAACAGCUAAGUUUCAACACCCCAAA
Long non-coding RNA from Oreochromis aureus, 822 nucleotides. Lineage: Eukaryota; Metazoa; Chordata; Actinopteri; Cichliformes; Cichlidae. The record is from Ensembl.